GCGCGAAAACUCUGCAAUGUGGGAAACCACGACAGGGGAACUCCCAGUGCCAGCACUAUGUGCUGGCUGUUUUCCUGCCUAAAAAGCAGGGAGAGUAAGGGCUGGGUAAGACGGGUGCCAGCCGCCGCGGUAAUACCCGCAGCCCGAGUGGUGCUCAUUGUUAUUGGGCCUAAAACGUCCGUAGCCGGCUUGGUAAAUGCCUGGGUAAAUCGGGCAGCUUAACUGUUCGAAUUCCGGGUAGACUGCCAGGCUCGAGAUCGGGAGAGCCUCGAGGUACUCCUGGGGUAGAGGUGAAAUUCUGUAAUCCUAGGGGGACCACCGGUGGCGAAGGCGUCGAGGUAGAACGAUUCUGACGGUGAGGGACGAAGGCUAGGGGCGCAAACGGG
Molecule: ribosomal RNA, 386 nt
Filed under: uncultured bacterium
Lineage: Bacteria
Description: bacterial SSU rRNA
Rfam family: Archaeal small subunit ribosomal RNA
Source: RNAcentral